RNAcentral lists this transfer RNA (127 nucleotides) under Candidatus Aenigmatarchaeota archaeon. RNAcentral's name for it is "tRNA-Arg". Lineage: Archaea; Nanobdellati; Candidatus Aenigmatarchaeota. The record is from RNAcentral.
GCCCCUGUAGUUUAGUCUGGAUAAGCCAUUUUGUGCAAGUAAACGACAAAAGCGCUUGCGGAAAGUAAACCAGAAAGAAUGCGAGCUUGCGGAGCUUGUGACCCGGGUUCGAAUCCCGGCGGGGGCA